This 430-nucleotide ribosomal RNA is filed under the name uncultured bacterium. RNAcentral's name for it is "bacterial SSU rRNA". It matches the Rfam family "Archaeal small subunit ribosomal RNA", at positions 339 to 776 of the family's 1478-position model. The record is from RNAcentral.
GCGAGAAAACUUUGCAAUGUGCGAAAGCACGACAAGGUUAAUCCGAGUGGUUUCUGCUAAAGAAACCUUUUGCUAGUCCUAGAAACACUAGUGAAUAAGGGGUGGGCAAGUUCUGGUGUCAGCCGCCGCGGUAAAACCAGCACCUCAAGUGGUCAGGGUGAUUAUUGGGCCUAAAGCAUCCGUAGCUCGUUUUGUAAGUUUUCGGUUAAAUCCAUACGCUUAACGUAUGGGCUGCCGGAAAUACUGCAUAACUAGGAAGUGGGAGAGGUAGACGGUACUCGGUAGGAAGGGGUAAAAUCCUUUGAUCUAUUGAUGACCACCUGUGGCGAAGGCGGUCUACCAGAACACGUUCGACGGUGAGGGAUGAAAGCUGGGGGAGCAAACCGGAUUAGAUACCCCCGUAGUCCCUGAGCGGGCUGGCAAGGCGCAU